RNAcentral lists this ribosomal RNA (507 nucleotides) under uncultured Desulfobulbus sp. RNAcentral's name for it is "bacterial SSU rRNA". It matches the Rfam family "Bacterial small subunit ribosomal RNA", at positions 903 to 1382 of the family's 1533-position model. The record is from RNAcentral. Lineage: Bacteria; Pseudomonadati; Thermodesulfobacteriota; Desulfobulbia; Desulfobulbales; Desulfobulbaceae.
CGUCCAGCCCGCUCAGAAACUCAAAUGAAGUUGACGGGGCCCGCACAAGCGGUGGAGUAUGUGGUUUAAUUCGAUGCAACGCGAAGAACCUUACCUGGUCUUGACAUCCCGGAGACCCUUAGGAAACUAGGGGGUGCUUCCAUCUGGAAGAAUCUGGAGACAGGUGCUGCAUGGCUGUCGUCAGCUCGUGUCGUGAGAUGUUGGGUUAAGUCCCGCAACGAGCGCAACCCUUGCCUUUAGUUGCCAGCAGUUCGGCUGGGCACUCUAAAGGGACUGCCGGUGUUAAACCGGAGGAAGGUGGGGAUGACGUCAAGUCCUCAUGGCCUUUAUGACCAGGGCUACACACGUACUACAAUGGCCGAUACAAAGGGCAGCGACACUGCGAGGUGAAGCCAAUCCCGUAAAAUCGGUCUCAGUCCGGAUUGGAGUCUGCAACUCGACUCCAUGAAGUUGGAAUCGCUAGUAAUCGUGGAUCAGCAUGCCACGGUGAAUACGUUCCCGGGCCUU